RNAcentral lists this ribosomal RNA (301 nucleotides) under uncultured bacterium. RNAcentral describes it as "partial 16S ribosomal RNA". It matches the Rfam family "Bacterial small subunit ribosomal RNA", at positions 509 to 807 of the family's 1533-position model. The record is from RNAcentral.
CAGUCGCCGCGGUAAUACGUAGGUGGCAAGCGUUGUCCGGAAUUAUUGGGCGUAAAGGGCUCGCAGGCGGUUUCUUAAGUCUGAUGUGAAAGCCCCCGGCUCAACCGGGGAGGGUCAUUGGAAACUGGGAAACUUGAGUGCAGAAGAGGAGAGUGGAACUCCACGUGUAGCGGUGAAAUGCGUAGAGAUGUGGAGGAACACCAGUGGCGAAGGCGACUCUCUGGUCUGUAACUGACGCUGAGGAGCGAGAGCGUGGGGAGCGAACAGGAUUAGAUACCCCUGUAGUCCCUGUCUCUUAUAC